RNAcentral lists this ribosomal RNA (406 nucleotides) under uncultured bacterium. RNAcentral's name for it is "partial 16S ribosomal RNA". It matches the Rfam family "Bacterial small subunit ribosomal RNA", at positions 30 to 526 of the family's 1533-position model. The record is from RNAcentral.
AUUGAACGCUGGCGGCAGGCCUAACACAUGCAAGUCGAGCGAGCGGCGGACGGGUGAGUAAUGCCUAGGAAUCUGCCUGGUAGUGGGGGAUAGCGUCCGGAAACGGGCGCUAAUACCGCAUACCAUCAGAUGUGCCCAGGUUGGAUUAGGUAGUAGGUGGGGUAACGGCUCACCUAGGCGACGAUCCCUAGCUGGUCUGAGAGGAUGACCAGCCCAACUGGAACGUAGACACGGUCCAGACUCCGACGGGAGGCAGCCGGUGUGAAUAUUGCACAAUGGGCGCAAGCCUGAUGCAGCCAUGCCGCGUGUGUGAAGAAGGCCUUCGGGUUGUAAAGCACUUUCAGCGGGGAGGCGUUACCCGCAGAAGAAGCACCGGCUAACUCCGUGCCAGCAGCCGCGGUAAUUC